RNAcentral lists this ribosomal RNA (393 nucleotides) under uncultured bacterium. Its description in RNAcentral is "partial 16S ribosomal RNA". It matches the Rfam family "Bacterial small subunit ribosomal RNA", at positions 523 to 918 of the family's 1533-position model. The record is from RNAcentral.
AUACGGAGGAUCCGAGCGUUAUCCGGAUUUAUUGGGUUUAAAGGGAGCGUAGGUGGAUUGUUAAGUCAGUUGUGAAAGUUUGCGGCUCGACCGUAAAAUUGCAGUUGAAACUGGCAGUCUUGAGUACAGUAGAGGUGGGCGGAAUUCGUGGUGUAGCGGUGAAAUGCUUAGAUAUCACGAAGAACUCCGAUUGCGAAGGCAGCUCACUAGACUGUUACUGACACUGAUGCUCGAAAGUGUGGGUAUCAAACAGGAUUAGAUACCCUGGUAGUCCACACAGUAAACGAUGAAUACUCGCUGUUUGCGAUAUACAGUAAGCGGCCAAGCGAAAGCAUUAAGUAUUCCACCUGGGGAGUACGCCGGCAACGGUGAAACUCAAAUGAAUUGACGGGG